This 253-nucleotide ribosomal RNA is filed under the name uncultured bacterium. RNAcentral's name for it is "partial 16S ribosomal RNA". It matches the Rfam family "Bacterial small subunit ribosomal RNA", at positions 524 to 776 of the family's 1533-position model. The record is from RNAcentral.
GACGAACCGUACGAACGUUAUUCGGAAUCACUGGGCUUAAAGGGUGCGUAGGCGGCGCAGCAAGUUGGGUGUGAAAUCCCUCGGCUUAACCGAGGAACUGCGCCCAAAACUGCUGUGCUCGAGGGAGACAGAGGUGAGCGGAACUUAGGGUGGAGCGGUGAAAUGCGUUGAUAUCCUAAGGAACACCGGUGGCGAAAGCGGCUCACUGGGUCUCUUCUGACGCUGAGGCACGAAAGCUAGGGGAGCGAACGGG